GACGAACGCUGGCGGCGUGCUUAACACAUGCAAGUCGAACGGAAAGGCCCUGCUUUUGUGGGGUGCUCGAGUGGCGAACGGGUGAGUAACACGUGAGUAACCUGCCCUUGACUUUGGGAUAACUUCAGGAAACUGGGGCUAAUACCGGAUAGGAGCUCCUGCUGCAUGGUGGGGGUUGGAAAGUUUCGGCGGUUGGGGAUGGACUCGCGGCUUAUCAGCUUGUUGGUGGGGUAGUGGCUUACCAAGGCUUUGACGGGUAGCCGGCCUGAGAGGGUGACCGGCCACAUUGGGACUGAGAUACGGCCCAGACUCCUACGGGAGGCAGCAGUGGGGAAUAUUGCACAAUGGGCGGAAGCAUGAUGCAGCAACGCCGCGUGCGGGACGACGGCCUUCGGGUUGUAAACCGCUUUCGCCUGUGACGAAGCGUGAGUGACGGUAAUGGGUAAAGAAGCACCGGCUAACUACGUG
This 468-nucleotide ribosomal RNA is filed under the name uncultured bacterium. RNAcentral describes it as "partial 16S ribosomal RNA". It matches the Rfam family "Bacterial small subunit ribosomal RNA", at positions 28 to 507 of the family's 1533-position model. The record is from RNAcentral.